RNAcentral lists this ribosomal RNA (400 nucleotides) under uncultured bacterium. RNAcentral describes it as "bacterial SSU rRNA". It matches the Rfam family "Bacterial small subunit ribosomal RNA", at positions 356 to 773 of the family's 1533-position model. The record is from RNAcentral.
GGGGAAUCUUGCGCAAUGGGCGAAAGCCUGACGCAGCCAUGCCGCGUGAAUGAUGAAGGUCUUAGGAUUGUAAAAUUCUUUCACCGGGGACGAUAAUGACGGUACCCGGAGAAGAAGCCCCGGCUAACUUCGUGCCAGCAGCCGCGGUAAUACGAAGGGGGCUAGCGUUGCUCGGAAUUACUGGGCGUAAAGGGAGCGUAGGCGGACAGUUAAGUCAGAGGUGAAAGCCCAGGGCUCAACCUUGGAAUUGCCUUUGAUACUGGCUGUCUUGAGUAUGGGAGAGGUGUGUGGAACUCCGAGUGUAGAGGUGAAAUUCGUAGAUAUUCGGAAGAACACCAGUGGCGAAGGCGACACACUGGCCCAUUACUGACGCUGAGGCUCGAAAGCGUGGGGAGCAAAC